CUAGACAGUAGAAUGGACGAACUCAGUAUCAAUUUUAAGCUCUGAACUCAGUCUCUCUCUCUCUCUCUCCAUUUCACACACUCCUCUCCUCUCAUAGUCUCACCCGCCCACCUUGAUCUAAAUCCCACACCAUAGAUUAGAUAGCAGAGAGAGACGACGACAACGAUGGAUUCGUUUUGGAUUUGAUUCGCCUGCCGCCUUCUUCAUUCAAUCCCAAGAAUAUCCUCAGGUUCCACCGGUUGACUCCUUAAUAUUAUCUUUUUGUUCCUUCUCUGAAACAGAGCCGAUUCUAGGUACUCUAGAUACUUGAAAAAAAAAAUUAUAGGUUCCACCAAGUACCUGGAACUUGGGGUAUAAUAUAGGUUUUUGGUUCGAGAUUCAACAUGAUAGAGUUUGAGUUUCGUAAAAGAAAAGGUACUCGGAACCGAUCACCCAUAAUAAAAAUAGCCUUAUACUCAUAUGUUGUAUUGAAAAAAUUAAUACAAAGAAAAAAAAAGGAGUAGAAAAGAAAAACAAGCUGAAUGAUUGGAUGGAUUUUUCGUCUCACUCAUGCUACAGUUGGUUCGCAUGAAUAAAAUUGAUGGGAAAUAUGAUAAAUAUGUAAUUAGAAUUGAAUUAAAACAUGGAAAAAGAAUUAUAAUUGGAUGGAAUAGGAAGGUGGAGAUUUGAGACUUUUUUAUUUGACCGAUCAAUCGGUUAAACAUAAUAGAAUAUUAAAAGACGAAAAUGCCCUGACCUAAGGAAAAUUAAAAUAAUAUUUAAAAAUUAUUUUAAAUUAUUUCAAAGCCCGGUAGACCAUGAGUCAUGAUUGGGCUAACCAGGAGCUUGAGAGCCCUAUCUCUCUCUCUAGAGGACCCAGGCUCCCGAGCCCUGCUUCGACAAACUAGGGCUUGCACAUUGACUUGCUAGCCCUAGGAGGCUUUCGGAGCCUGAGCUCCUCAGAGGACUCAAGUUGUUUAGAGGGCUCGAGCUGCUCUAACGAGCCCUUGAAUUAUGUCAAGCUCGGCGAGCCGGAUCUGGUUUUGUCGGCUUGAGGACAGGUAGGAAAGUAUCUUGGUUUGGCCGCAGGUGGAAGUCCAAAGGAGGCCACGGUGGAAGUUGGUGACGGCAAUGGAGAACAGGGACGGGUAGUGAAGAGGAGUGACAUGGUUUGUAAAUUUGAUAAAUAAUUUGGGGUACUUUAGUAAGUUAAGCUCCUAUUACUUACGCAUAAUACCGAUCACGUACAGCGGGUUGGAGCAUUGUUAUUCAGUCCCUAUUGCGGAUAUAAAUCCGGAUUCCAGUUUGUAAUAGUGAUUAUGAUUAGGGGUCAAAACAAACAAUGUAAUAACUAUUACGUAAAUAAUAGUUCGUAAUUCCAUUCCUAUUACGGCCAAUCGAACAUAGCAUGAAUGUUUUCAAA
Molecule: non-coding RNA, 1402 nt
Organism: Punica granatum (pomegranate)
Lineage: Eukaryota; Viridiplantae; Streptophyta; Magnoliopsida; Myrtales; Lythraceae
Source: RefSeq, a predicted model, not a curated record